UCUGUAGGUGGCUUGCUAAGUCAGACGUGAAAUCCCUCAGCUUAACUGGGGAACUGCGUCUGAUACUGGCAAGCUUGAGUGCAGGAGAGGAACGCGGAAUUCCAGGUGUAGCGGUGAAAUGCGUAGAUAUCUGGAGGAACACCGGUGGCGAAGGCGGCGUUCUGGACUGCAACUGACACUGAGAGACGAAGCCAGGGAGCAAACG
RNAcentral lists this ribosomal RNA (205 nucleotides) under uncultured bacterium. RNAcentral's name for it is "partial 16S ribosomal RNA". It matches the Rfam family "Bacterial small subunit ribosomal RNA", at positions 568 to 774 of the family's 1533-position model. The record is from RNAcentral.